Molecule: ribosomal RNA, 606 nt
Filed under: Phaeoclavulina eumorpha
Lineage: Eukaryota; Fungi; Basidiomycota; Agaricomycetes; Gomphales; Gomphaceae
Description: eukaryotic LSU rRNA
Rfam family: Eukaryotic large subunit ribosomal RNA
Source: RNAcentral
CUAACGAGGAUUCCCCUAGUAACGGCGAGUGAAGCGGGAAGAGCUCAAAUUUGUAAUCUGGCGGCCUUCGGUCGUCCGAGUUGUAGUCUGGAGAAGCGUCUUCCGCUUCGGACCGUGUAUAAGUCCCUUGGAACGGGGCGUCAUAGAGGGUGAGAAUCCCGUCUUUGACACCGACUGCCGAAGCUUUGUGAUGCGCUCUCGAAGAGUCGAGUUGUUUGGGAAUGCAGCUCAAAACGGGUGGUAAAUUCCAUCUAAAGCUAAAUAUUGGCGAAAGACCGAUAGCGAACAAGUACCGUGAGGGAAAGAUGAAAAGCACUUUGGAAAGAGAGUUAAACAGUACGUGAAAUUGUUGAAAGGGAAACGCUUGGAGUCAGUCGCGUCCCUCGAGACUCAAUGGACCCCGUCACACGCACUUUGAGGCGACGGGCCAGCAUCGAUUUCCAUCGUCGGAAAAAGGCGAAGGGAAUGUGGCACCUUCGGGUGUGGUAUAACCCCUCGUUGUAUGCCUCGGUUGGGAUCGAGGAUCGCAACGCGCCUUCAUUGGCCGGGGUUCGCCCACGUAACGCGCUUAAGAUGCUGGCGUAAUGGCUUUAAGCGACCCGUCUU